CCCUAGCCCCGAUUGAAACGGAAAUCCUUUUUGAAACUUUGUAAAAGUUUAAAAAAGAUUGCAGUGAAAAGCGGGAAUCAGC
Molecule: small RNA, 82 nt
Filed under: Flavobacterium caeni
Lineage: Bacteria; Pseudomonadati; Bacteroidota; Flavobacteriia; Flavobacteriales; Flavobacteriaceae
Description: Flavo-1 RNA
Rfam family: Flavo-1 RNA
Source: Rfam by way of RNAcentral